This 468-nucleotide ribosomal RNA is filed under the name uncultured bacterium. Its description in RNAcentral is "partial 16S ribosomal RNA". It matches the Rfam family "Bacterial small subunit ribosomal RNA", at positions 28 to 507 of the family's 1533-position model. The record is from RNAcentral.
GACGAACGCUGGCGGCGUGCUUAACACAUGCAAGUCGAACGGAAAGGCCCUGCUUUUGUGGGGUGCUCGAGUGGCGAACGGGUGAGUAACACGUGAGUAACCUGCCCUUGACUUUGGGAUAACUUCAGGAAACUGGGGCUAAUACCGGAUAGGAGCUCCUGCUGCAUGGUGGGGGUUGGAAAGUUUCGGCGGUUGGGGAUGGACUCGCGGCUUAUCAGCUUGAUGGUGGGGUAGUGGCUUACCAAGGUUUUGACGGGUAGCCGGCCUGAGAGGGUGACCGGCCACAUUGGGACUGAGGUACGGCCCAGACUCCUACGGGAGGCAGCAGUGGGGAAUAUUGCACAAUGGGCGGAAGCCUGAUGCAGCAACGCCGCGUGCGGGAUGACGGCCUUCGGGUUGUAAACCGCUUUCGCCUGUGACGAAGCGUGAGUGACGGUAAUGGGUAAAGAAGCACCGGCUAACUACGUG